Molecule: ribosomal RNA, 774 nt
Filed under: uncultured bacterium
Lineage: Bacteria
Description: bacterial SSU rRNA
Rfam family: Bacterial small subunit ribosomal RNA
Source: RNAcentral
UGUAACACGUAUGGAACCUGCCCGCCACAGGGGGAUAACCCGGGGAAACCCGGCCUAAUACCCCAUGCCGCCCGGACCGGGCAUCCGGACCGGGCGAAAGGAGGAAUCCGGUGGCGGCUGGGCAUGCGGCGCAUUGGCUUGACGGCGGGGUAACGGCCCACCGUGGCGACGAUGCGUAGGGGUUCUGAGAGGAAGGCCCCCCACACUGGAACUGAGACACGGUCCAGACUCCUACGGGAGGCAGCAGUGAGGAAUAUUGGUCAAUGGGCGGAAGCCUGAACCAGCCAAGUCGCGUGAGGGAAUAAGGCCCUACGGGUCGUAAACCUCUUUUGCCGGGGAGCAAGGGCCGGGACGAGUCCCGGUCCGGAGAGUACCCGGAGAAAAAGCAUCGGCUAACUCCGUGCCAGCAGCCGCGGUAAUACGGAGGAUGCGAGCGUUAUCCGGAUUUAUUGGGUUUAAAGGGUGCGUAGGCGGGCUUUUAAGUCAGCGGUAAAAAUUCGGGGCUCAACCCCGUCCGGCCGUUGAAACUGGGGGCCUUGAGUGGGCGAGAAGAAGGCGGAAUGCGUGGUGUAGCGGUGAAAUGCAUAGAUAUCACGCAGAACCCCGAUUGCGAAGGCAGCCUUCCGGCGCCCUACUGACGCUGAGGCACGAAAGUGCGGGGAUCGAACAGGAUUAGAUACCCUGGUAGUCCGCACAGUAAACGAUGGAUGCCAGCUGUCCGGGCCGAAUGGGGCCUGGGUGGCAAAGCGAAAGCGUUAAGCAUCCCACCUGGGG